Molecule: ribosomal RNA, 1171 nt
Filed under: Salmonella enterica subsp. enterica serovar Infantis
Lineage: Bacteria; Pseudomonadati; Pseudomonadota; Gammaproteobacteria; Enterobacterales; Enterobacteriaceae
Also listed under: 2 other names
Description: partial 23S ribosomal RNA
Rfam family: Bacterial large subunit ribosomal RNA
Source: RNAcentral
GGUUAAGCGACUAAGCGUACACGGUGGAUGCCCUGGCAGUCAGAGGCGAUGAAGGGCGUGCUAAUCUGCGAUAAGCGCCGGUAAGGUGAUAUGAACCGUUAUAACCGGCGAUACCCGAAUGGGGAAACCCAGUGUGAUUCGUCACACUAUCAUUAACUGAAUCCAUAGGUUAAUGAGGCGAACCGGGGGAACUGAAACAUCUAAGUACCCCGAGGAAAAGAAAUCAACCGAGAUUCCCCCAGUAGCGGCGAGCGAACGGGGAGGAGCCCAGAGCCUGAAUCAGCAUGUGUGUUAGUGGAAGCGUCUGGAAAGGCGCGCGAUACAGGGUGACAGCCCCGUACACAAAAGCGCAUGUGCUGUGAGCUCGAUGAGUAGGGCGGGACACGUGGUAUCCUGUCUGAAUAUGGGGGGACCAUCCUCCAAGGCUAAAUACUCCUGACUGACCGAUAGUGAACCAGUACCGUGAGGGAAAGGCGAAAAGAACCCCGGCGAGGGGAGUGAAAAAGAACCUGAAACCGUGUACGUACAAGCAGUGGGAGCACAGGUUUACCUGUGUGACUGCGUACCUUUUGUAUAAUGGGUCAGCGACUUAUAUUCUGUAGCAAGGUUAACCGUAUAGGGGAGCCGGAGGGAAACCGAGUCUUAAUUGGGCGUUAAGUUGCAGGGUAUAGACCCGAAACCCGGUGAUCUAGCCAUGGGCAGGUUGAAGGUUGGGUAACACUAACUGGAGGACCGAACCGACUAAUGUUGAAAAAUUAGCGGAUGACCUGUGGCUGGGGGUGAAAGGCCAAUCAAACCGGGAGAUAGCUGGUUCUCCCCGAAAGCUAUUUAGGUAGCGCCUCGUGAAUUCAUCUCCGGGGGUAGAGCACUGUUUCGGCUAGGGGGCCAUCCCGGCUUACCAACCCGAUGCAAACUGCGAAUACCGGAGAAUGUUAUCACGGGAGACACACGGCGGGUGCUAACGUCCGUCGUGAAGAGGGAAACAACCCAGACCGCCAGCUAAGGUCCCAAAGUCAUGGUUAAGUGGGAAACGAUGUGGGAAGGCCCAGACAGCCAGGAUGUUGGCUUAGAAGCAGCCAUCAUUUAAAGAAAGCGUAAUAGCUCACUGGUCGAGUCGGCCUGCGCGGAAGAUGUAACGGGGCUAAACCAUGCACCGAAGCUGCGGCAGCGA